GUAGGUGGCAAGCGUUGUCCGGAAUUAUUGGGCGUAAAGCGCGCGCAGGCGGUCCUUUAAGUCUGAUGUGAAAGCCCACGGCUCAACCGUGGAGGGUCAUUGGAAACUGGGGGACUUGAGUACAGAAGAGGAAAGCGGAAUUCCAAGUGUAGCGGUGAAAUGCGUAGAGAUUUGGAGGAACACCAGUGGCGAAGGCGGCUUUCUGGUCUGUAACUGACGCUGAGGCGCGAAAGCGUGGGGAGCAAACAGGGAUUAGAUACCCUGGUAGUCCACGCCGUAAACGAUGAGUGCUAAGUGUUAGGGGGUUUCCCGCCCCCUUAGUGCUGCAGCUAACGCAUUAAGCACUCCGCCUGGGGAGUACGGCCGCAAGGCUA
This 374-nucleotide ribosomal RNA is filed under the name uncultured organism. Its description in RNAcentral is "partial 16S ribosomal RNA". It matches the Rfam family "Bacterial small subunit ribosomal RNA", at positions 527 to 896 of the family's 1533-position model. The record is from RNAcentral.